AUCUUUGCGCUUGGGGCAAUGACGCAGCUAGUGAGGUUAUGCCGAGGCGCGUCAAUUGCUGGUUGAAAACUAUUUCCAAACCCCCUCCUCGGCCUUGGUUUUGCCAGGCCCGUCGAGAAUUUCUGGAAAGGCUCCCUCUAAACAAGGGGUAAAGCC
Molecule: small nuclear RNA, 156 nt
Filed under: Thalictrum thalictroides
Lineage: Eukaryota; Viridiplantae; Streptophyta; Magnoliopsida; Ranunculales; Ranunculaceae
Description: U4 spliceosomal RNA
Rfam family: U4 spliceosomal RNA
About the family: U4 small nuclear RNA (U4 snRNA) is a component of the major U2-dependent spliceosome. The structure of U4 snRNA from yeast and human has been reported. U4 snRNA presents a k-turn RNA motif in the 5p-SL related to recognition of Snu13 protein.
Source: Rfam by way of RNAcentral